Mastomys coucha (southern multimammate mouse) is the source of this 104-nucleotide small nuclear RNA. The record is from RefSeq and is a predicted model, not a curated record. NCBI's taxonomy places the organism in Eukaryota, Metazoa, Chordata, Mammalia, Rodentia, Muridae.
GGGCUUGCUUUGGCAGCUCGUAUACUAAAGUUGGAACCAGACAGAGAUUAUCAUGGCCUCUGUGCAAGGAUGAAACGCAAGUUUGCAAAGUGUCCAUAUUUUAA